Molecule: transfer RNA, 65 nt
Filed under: Pyrrhopeplus carduelis
Lineage: Eukaryota; Metazoa; Arthropoda; Insecta; Hemiptera; Pyrrhocoridae
Description: tRNA-Ala
Rfam family: tRNA
About the family: Transfer RNA (tRNA) molecules are approximately 80 nucleotides in length. Their secondary structure includes four short double-helical elements and three loops (D, anti-codon, and T loops). Further hydrogen bonds mediate the characteristic L-shaped molecular structure. tRNAs have two regions of fundamental functional importance: the anti-codon, which is responsible for specific mRNA codon recognition, and the 3' end, to which the tRNAs corresponding amino acid is attached (by aminoacyl-tRNA synthetases). tRNAs cope with the degeneracy of the genetic code in two manners: having more than one tRNA (with a specific anti-codon) for a particular amino acid; and 'wobble' base-pairing, i.e. permitting non-standard base-pairing at the 3rd anti-codon position.
Source: RNAcentral
GGGGUUGUAGUUAAAAAUAACAUUUAAUUUGCAAUUAAAAAGAACUAAAACAUUAGUCUACCUCA